UCGAGGAUCAUUUGCAAUGGGCGCAAGCCUGACCCAGCAACGCCGCGUGAGGGAAGAAGGUCUUCGGAUUGUAACCCUCUGUCCUUGGGGACGAAAAAAAUGACGGUACCCAAGGAGGAAGCUCCGGCUAACUACGUGCCAGCAGCCGCGGUAAUACGUAGGGAGCGAGCGUUGUCCGGAAUUACUGGGCGUAAAGGGUGCGUAGGCGGCUUGGCAAGUCAGAUGUGAAAUCCCCGGGCUUAACUCGGGAGUUGCAUUUGAAACUGCUAGGCUUGAGUGCAGGAGAUGAAAGCGGAAUUCCUAGUGUAGCGGUGAAAUGCGUAGAUAUUAGGAGGAACACCAGUGGCGAAGGCGGCGUUCUGGACUGUAACUGACGCUGAGGCACGAAAGCGUGGGGAGCAAGCA
This 405-nucleotide ribosomal RNA is filed under the name uncultured prokaryote. RNAcentral describes it as "bacterial SSU rRNA". It matches the Rfam family "Bacterial small subunit ribosomal RNA", at positions 355 to 774 of the family's 1533-position model. The record is from RNAcentral.